RNAcentral lists this unclassified non-coding RNA (163 nucleotides) under uncultured Periconia. RNAcentral's name for it is "sequence contains ITS2". The record is from RNAcentral. Lineage: Eukaryota; Fungi; Ascomycota; Sordariomycetes; Microascales; Halosphaeriaceae.
ACACCCUCAAGCCUAGCUUGGUGUUGGGCGUCUGUCCCGCCGAUUCUCGCGCGCGGACUCGCCUCAAAGUCAUUGGCCGCGGUCGUGCCAGCCCCCUCGCGCAGCACAUUUUGCGCUUCUCGGAGGCUCGGCGGAUCCCGCGCUCCAGCAAGGACCUUUCACG